RNAcentral lists this ribosomal RNA (492 nucleotides) under uncultured bacterium. Its description in RNAcentral is "partial 16S ribosomal RNA". It matches the Rfam family "Bacterial small subunit ribosomal RNA", at positions 29 to 507 of the family's 1533-position model. The record is from RNAcentral.
AGUGAACGCUGGCGGUAGGCCUAACACAUGCAAGUCGAACGGCAGCACAGUAAGAGCUUGCUCUUACGGGUGGCGAGUGGCGGACGGGUGAGGAAUACAUCGGAAUCUACUUUUUCGUGGGGGAUAACGUAGGGAAACUUACGCUAAUACCUCAUACGACCUACGGGUGAAAGCAGUGGAUCUUCGGACCUUGCGCGAUUGAAUGAGCCGAUGUCGGAUUAGCUAGUUGGCGGGGUAAAGGCCCACCAAGGCGACGAUCCGUAGCUGGUCUGAGAGGAUGAUCAGCCACACUGGAACUGAGACACGGUCCAGACUCCUACGGGAGGCAGCAGUGGGGAAUAUUGGACAAAGGGCGCAAGCCUGAUCCAGCCAGACCGCGUGGGUGAAGAAGGCCUUCGGGUUGUAAAGCCCUUUUGUUGGGAAAGAAAAGCAGCAGGUUAAUACCCCGCUGUUCUGACGGUACCAAAAGAAUAAGCACCGGCUAACUUCGUG